RNA transcript from Solanum dulcamara, 2944 nucleotides. RefSeq lists it as uncharacterized. The record is from RefSeq and is a predicted model, not a curated record. The transcript has 6 exons. NCBI's taxonomy places the organism in Eukaryota, Viridiplantae, Streptophyta, Magnoliopsida, Solanales, Solanaceae.
UAAAUAGUUGACCCGACUUGAAAUUGUUGCUCUCCUAUGGACUCCAGAUUAAAGGGAAUUGUCACUGCCGUUGCCCGGAAAUCAUGCCCGAUAUGCCUCUGCCGGUUACACUAUCGGAGCGCGGCGGUAAUUAUCCCAUGUAUGCACGCCUAUUGCAUCGUUUGCAUCCGCAGAUGGAGCGAUCUGAACAGAAAAUGCCCUCUCUGCAACGCCGACUUUGAUUCAUGGUUUUCCAGAAUCAGCUCCUCAUCCCGGACCUUCCAGAAAGAAAAAUUAUCAGCUCGUAGCGAGACUAAGAAGUUAAACUCAGGUUUUGUCUCCUCUAGGCCUAGAGAUCGAUUGGCGGACCGAAGAGUGAUUAGGAGUAGGAGAGAAGAGUUGAAUACUUUUGGCUCCAGAACGAGGCCGUUUCCAAGACGGCGAUCGUUUGAUCAGAUUGGAGCUUUAAAUCCAGAUGAUAUUACCAGGAGAAUCAUUCUCUGGCGUUCUAGCAUAUAUGAAGAGAGAUUGCAGGCUGUUCCUUUUUCAUCUAAAAAUUGUCUUAUGCAGCACAUGGAUAAUAGGAGUACCAAAGAAAAGAUGUUACAGAGAAUAGAGCCUUGGAUAAGAAGGGAGCUGCAAGCUAUACUGGGGGAUCCAGAUCCAUCCAUUAUUGUCCAUGUUGCUACCUCACUUUUUAUCUCCGAAAAUACACAUUCAACACAGCAGUGCGCAGGAGGUGAUUUUCUUGCUCCACUGCGGCCCUUCUUGCAUGAAUGUACAGAAAUGUUUUGGCAUGAACUAAGCUCAAUCAAUAUUUUGUUGAAGAAAUACUUCUCUAUUCAAGACCAAGUAUCAGAAUUGAACAGACUGCAGUCAAUCUUUGGAGUGGAACAUCUUAUUUUAGUAAAUUGAUUGGCAUAUAGGAAAAGAGUAUCACCUUUGUGCCCUCAAAAGCAGCCAUGGGACCUCUUUGAUAACUUUAAUUGCAAGUAAGGAGAAUCCUAAUUUGUCUGCUUAAAUCUCAUCUUACUGAUCAGCAUCCAUAGAUGCCUCACUUUCACAACUUAAGCUGAGAAUAGGGAUGAUCAAAUCUUCGUUUUGUUAUUGUGGUUAAAGUAAACAAUUCUGAAUUUGAUGUUGUUUUGGCAAAAAAAACUUCUAAAUAACAUCAGAUUUUUUUUUUAAAAUGGAUUAAUUUAGAUUUUUUAAAAUAAUGGUGGUGUGGGGCCUAGCUUGCACACAACUCGACUAUUAUACUGCUUACUUGCUACAUACCACUUGCACACAUGGUACCCUCUGUUUAUCAAUGUUUAGGCAGAAGUGAAGUGAUCAGUAUUUUUUUGUAUUUGCUGGGAUUUGAUUUCUGGUCUCCAGGGUUUGCAUCCACCUCAGUGAUCAGUGCCACACCCUUUUUGUGCUAAGCUAACAUUAGGCUUUGAAUCAUUGUUUUUCUUCAUGCGAUAGAUUUAUAGAUGUGAGAACCAAUUCCGUCAACCAUCUUAGCAAAAGUUUGUGAACAUUGAAGACAGUGGAUCAUGUAUGUGUAGUUCCACCUUUGAAUACUGAGAUGCAUCCAUGAACUAAUUUCUAUAGUUAUCUUAUUACCACCACAGGCAGGAGACUUGGGAUAUAAUCUAAUUAGCUAAUAGAAAGUAAUGUUUGACGUGCUGGUGUUAAACUCAUUGCAUUUAAUUCAUCUCCUAGACAGAAAGGGAGAUGGUCCAUCAAGGUAUAUCUGUCAAGCUAUUUUUCUCUAGAGCCUUUACAGGCAAUAAGCGUUCUAAAUAAACAGUCCUUCCAGGUUAGAGACCGGAAGUGCCAUAUUUACCAGCGAUCUAUUUUGAAUUAGAAACUGCUACCCAGUGUUCUGAAAGGCGCUCGCCUGGCGACUCUGCGUGGCGAGGCGAUGUCUUGUCGCCUUUUCUCUGCGUGGCGAGGCGAGAUCGAAAAGGCGACACGAGGCGACGAAAUGGUGAGAGGCGACCAGGCGUGGCUAGGCGAGAAAGGCGCGCCAUUCGAUUUUUUUUUUAAAAAAAGAACUGAUUUAUUAAUUAAAAGAAAAUUUUAGUUUUUUUUUUGUUAUUUUGGCAAACCUGCUAAGUCGCGACUUAGCUGCAUGCCCGCAUCAGUUUCUUUCUUCUUCUCUAGCUGUCUCGCACAAGUCGAUUGCUCAACUUCGUCUUUCUUCUUCAGCGAUUUCUCAACAGCUUACAGGUGCUUUGCCGAGAGUCCUUUGUCUAUGCAAACAUAUGAUACUGUGGUGGAGUACAAUUCGUUGGACUAAUUCACUUGUACCAAUCGUCAGUAUGGGUUGGCUACAAUCCUGGGGUAACAAUGGAUUGAGAGGGAUAAGAUAGGGUUGCGAUCCAGUGUUGUCAUCUGAUCAUGGCUAUAAGGAUGUUGGAAUCUGAGUUCUUGCGGUGAAUGGAAGAGCAAACCACUAGUUUUUCUUCCUCAAUAGCCAGUUAAGUUGGUUGAAGAGCCCACUAUGCACUGCUUCUUAUGGAUAAGCAUGGAGUCUUGCUUCCUUGGCUUUGGCUAGGCAGGGAUAGCAUUUCUGUUGUGCAUAUUCAUGGUAUCUUUUGUGAAGUCCAAGACACAGGAAAAUGUGCCUUUUGUGAUUAGCAAUCCAUUAUUAGGAGAGGCUGGAGAGAUCGAGAAUGCUUAAGUUAUAUUUCUGCAGAUGUUAAUCAAAGCGUGUCAGGAGUUCCUGGGGAGUUGCUAGUAUUUGGCAGACAAUGCCUAACGACCUUUUUGAGCUUAAUAAGACUGAGAUUACUUGGGAAGAGAUUUUGGUGAUAUUUUGAUCCUGGCCCCUAGAGAGUGAUCCGUAGUGUCCUCUUCUUUGAUAAACUGCCACUAGGCUAUUGCACGUUCUGCAUUAUCUUUUAGCAACAAUUGAAUUAUUAUAAAAAAAAUUAAAAAAUAUUUUGCAUUGUUCUAUUUUAAUUUGUUUGUCUUA